RNAcentral lists this ribosomal RNA (209 nucleotides) under uncultured bacterium. RNAcentral's name for it is "partial 16S ribosomal RNA". It matches the Rfam family "Bacterial small subunit ribosomal RNA", at positions 338 to 544 of the family's 1533-position model. The record is from RNAcentral.
CCUACGGGAGGCAGCAGUGAGGAAUAUUGGUCAAUGGGCGAGAGCCUGAACCAGCCAAGUCGCGUGAGGGAAGACGGUCCUACGGAUUGUAAACCUCUUUUGUCGGGGAGUAAUAGGCGGGACGUGUCCUGCUGUGAGAGUACCCGAAGAAAAAGCAUCGGCUAACUCCGUGCCAGCAGCCGCGGUAAUACGGAGGAUGCGAGCGUUAU